This 471-nucleotide ribosomal RNA is filed under the name uncultured bacterium. RNAcentral's name for it is "bacterial SSU rRNA". It matches the Rfam family "Bacterial small subunit ribosomal RNA", at positions 29 to 475 of the family's 1533-position model. The record is from RNAcentral.
AACGAACGCUGGCGGCGUGCCUAACACAUGCAAGUCGUGCGAGAAAGUUCCUUCGGGAGCGAGUAAAGCGGCGCACGGGUGAGUAACACGUAGGUAACCUGCCCCUAAGUCUGGAACAACUAGAGGAAACUCUAGCUAAUGCCGGAUAAGACCACGAUCCCCCUCGGGGGUUGCGGCCAAAGAUGGCCUCUACUUGUAAGCUAUCGCUGAGGGAUGGGCCUGCGGGCCAUUAGCUUGUUGGUGAGGUAACGGCUCACCAAGGCUGUGAUGGCUAGCUGGUCUGAGAGGAUGACCAGCCACACUGGGACUGAGACACGGCCCAGACUCCUACGGGAGGCAGCAGUGGGGAAUAUUGCGCAAUGGGCGAAAGCCUGACGCAGCGACGCCGCGUGGGUGAUGAAGGCCUUCGGGUCGUAAAGCCUGUCGCAGGGAGAAUAAGCGGAGGGAGUAAUACAAGCUUGCUAAUGACGG